GACGAACGCUGGCGGCGUGCCUAAUACAUGCAAGUAGAACGCAGUUGCGAACGGGUGAGUAACGCGUCGGUAAAUGCCUCAUAGCGGGGGAUAACUAUUGGAAAAGAUAGCUAAUACCGCCUACUGUGAGAUGGACCUGCGUUGUAUUAGCUAGUUGGUGAGGUAAAGGCGCACCAAGGCGACGAUACAUAGCCGACCUGAGAGGGUGAUCGGCCACAAUUGGACUUGGAAACGGGCCAGACUCCUACGGGAGGGAGCAGUAGGGAAGCUUUGGCAAUGGAGGGAAGUCUGACCGAGCCACGCCGCGUGAGUGAAGAAGGGUUUCGGAGCGGAAAGCUCUGUUGUUAGAGAAGCGUUAACUAACCAGAAAGGGACGGCUAACUACGUGCCAGCCGCCGCGGUAAUAC
RNAcentral lists this ribosomal RNA (407 nucleotides) under uncultured bacterium. RNAcentral describes it as "partial 16S ribosomal RNA". It matches the Rfam family "Bacterial small subunit ribosomal RNA", at positions 28 to 526 of the family's 1533-position model. The record is from RNAcentral.